GUUGGUACAUACUAAAAUCAAUAGGAUAGGUAAAUACUAUGACUUAUCAUGUGAAAGUAUUUACUGUAACGGAUAUACGUCUGACUUAAAUUGUCGCCCUAAAUAUUGUUUGUGUAUCUAUAUGCAUAUAAAUUUCUCCUUGGACGGAACACUAUCUGUUACACAUGUUACAUUGAUAAAAACUCCGGUUUAUGAAUAUGAUUGUUUUCAGCUUACACCACUAUUACAGUAUAGAACAUUAAUCCAGAAAUAAAAUAUCAACCAGCAUUGAAGAAUUUAUGGUUUCCAUUGUUAAUCAUAGUACA
This 305-nucleotide long non-coding RNA is filed under the name Mytilus galloprovincialis (Mediterranean mussel). The record is from RNAcentral. Lineage: Eukaryota; Metazoa; Mollusca; Bivalvia; Mytilida; Mytilidae.